This 516-nucleotide ribosomal RNA is filed under the name uncultured bacterium. Its description in RNAcentral is "partial 16S ribosomal RNA". It matches the Rfam family "Bacterial small subunit ribosomal RNA", at positions 29 to 523 of the family's 1533-position model. The record is from RNAcentral.
AGCGAACGCUGGCGGCGUGCCUAACACAUGCAAGUCGAACGUGAAAUGGGGCAACCCAAAGUAAAGUGGCGUACGGGUGAGUAACGCGUAGGUAAUCUACCGAAGAGUCUGGAAUAACCGGCCGAAAGGCUGGCUAAUACUGGAUAGAGCGACGGGACUCGUAAUCGGGUCUGUCGGGAAAGGGAGGCAGCAAUGUCCCUUGCUCUUCGAUGAGCCUGCGUCUCAUUAGCUAGUUGGUGGGGUAACGGCCCACCAAGGCAUUGAUGAGUAGCUGGUCUGAGAGGAUGAUCAGCCACACUGGAACUGAAACACGGUCCAGACUCCUACGGGGGGCAGCAGUGGGGAAUCUUGCGCAAUGGACGAAAGUCUGACGCAGCCACGCCGCGUGAGUGAAGAAGGCCUUCGGGUUGUAAAGCUCUGUCGGGAGGGACGAACAUCCAUUGGGUUAACAGCCCAGUGGACUGACGGUACCUCCAAAGGAAGCACCGGCUAACUCUGUGCCAGCCGCCGCAGUAA